Non-coding RNA from Sander lucioperca (pikeperch), 522 nucleotides. Lineage: Eukaryota; Metazoa; Chordata; Actinopteri; Perciformes; Percidae. The record is from the annotation of a RefSeq genome assembly.
CUCCUCAUCAAAAACAUGACUCUGAUCUCCGUCCUCAUCUGGACUCUCCUCUGCUUCACUCAGGGGUCUGUUGGACAAAAUGUUGUCUUGACUCAGCCAGCAGCCAAAUCAGUGCAGCUGGGUCAAACUGUUUCUGUUGACUGUAAGGCCAAUCCAACAGUUACUCAAUACUCUGGUUCACAGUACCUCCUGGCCUGGUACCAUCAGAAAACUGGAGAAGCUCCUAAACUUCUGAUCAAACGGACAUCAGAAAGAGUUUCUACAAUCUCUAGGUACAGUGGAAGUGGAGCAGGGAACGGAGUUGACUUCACUCUGACCAUCAGUGGAUUUGAUGCUGCAGAUGCAGGAGUUUAUUACUGUCAGAGUCAUCAUGCUAUCAACAGUCAGGCUGUGUUCACACAGUGAUACAAAGUCGUACAAAAACCUCCCUCAGCUGGAGAGGAACUGAUCUGACUCAACAGCUGCACUGAAACUAAAACAACAGAAGCUUUACUAAACUAAAAUAUAUUUAAUAAUAAUUGC